RNAcentral lists this transfer RNA (72 nucleotides) under candidate division WWE3 bacterium CG_4_8_14_3_um_filter_42_11. RNAcentral describes it as "tRNA-Met". It matches the Rfam family "tRNA". Rfam says of the family: Transfer RNA (tRNA) molecules are approximately 80 nucleotides in length. RNAcentral also lists the same sequence under 1 other name. The record is from RNAcentral. Lineage: Bacteria; candidate division WWE3.
CGCGGGGUGGAGCAGUGGAAGCUCGCGAGGCUCAUAACCUCGAGGUCGCAGGUUCGAAUCCUGCCCCCGCAA